GAUUUCCUAAGUAGCGGCGAGCGAACGGGAAAGAGCCCAAACCGGAUUGCGUGCAAUCCGGGGUUCGGACUGCAUACGUCAUUGUAAGAGGAUAACAGAAUGGUUUUGGGAAAGCCAGCCAGAGAGGGUGAAAGCCCCGUACGUGAAAUCUGAUUACAGGCAGCAGGAUCCAGAGUACCACGAGACACGUGGAACCUUGUGGGAACAAGCGGGGACCACCCCGUAAGGCUAAAUACUCCUUAGUGACCGAUAGCGCAUAGUACUGUGAAGGAAAGGUGAAAAGAACCCCGGGAGGGGAGUGAAAGAGAACCUGAAACCCUGUGUUUACAAGCUGUGGAACCACCAUAUGAGUGGAACCGCGUACUUUUUGUAGAACGGUCCGGCGAGUUAUGGUUGCUGGCAAGGUUAAGGACGAAAAGUCCGGAGCCGAAGGGAAACCGAGUCUUAAUAGGGCGCCAAGUCAGCAGACAUAGACCCGAAACCGGGUGACCUACCCAUGUCCAGGUUGAAGCGCUGUAAAAGGCGGUGGAGGACCGAACCCAC
RNAcentral lists this ribosomal RNA (543 nucleotides) under human gut metagenome. RNAcentral describes it as "bacterial LSU rRNA". It matches the Rfam family "Bacterial large subunit ribosomal RNA", at positions 233 to 783 of the family's 2925-position model. The record is from RNAcentral.